This is a long non-coding RNA of Hibiscus syriacus, 148 nucleotides long. RefSeq lists it as uncharacterized. The record is from RefSeq and is a predicted model, not a curated record. The transcript is spliced from 3 exons. NCBI's taxonomy places the organism in Eukaryota, Viridiplantae, Streptophyta, Magnoliopsida, Malvales, Malvaceae.
AUGCACAAGUAAAAUGGAAAAUUAAUUGAAACAAGGACUGGUAAAACCAUGUAAUAAGGCAAAUAGUAGAGAGCUGCCUCAGGCAUAACAAUAGGACCAGUGCUCGUCCUCGCUAGCCCCGGAAUCGACAGCAGCAUUGUAAUCUUCC